AUUGAACGCUGGCGGCAUGCCUUACACAUGCAAGUCGAACGGUAACGGGCCUUCGGGUGCCGACGAGUGGCGAACGGGUGAGUAAUACAUCGGAACGUGCCCGAUCGUGGGGGAUAACGAGGCGAAAGCUUUGCUAAUACCGCAUACGAUCUACGGAUGAAAGCAGGGGACCGCAAGGCCUUGCGCGGACGGAGCGGCCGAUGGCAGAUUAGGUAGUUGGUGGGAUAAAAGCUUACCAAGCCGACGAUCUGUAGCCGGUCUGAGAGGAUGAUCAGCCACACUGGGACUGAGACACGGCCCAGACUCCUACGGGAGGCAGCAGUGGGGAAUUUUGGACAAUGGGCGCAAGCCUGAUCCAGCCAUGCCGCGUGCAGGAUGAAGGCCUUCGGGUUGUAAACUGCUUUUGUACGGAACGAAAAGCCUUCUUUUAAUACAGGAGGGUCAUGACGGUACCGUAAGAAUAAGCACCGGCUAACUACGUG
RNAcentral lists this ribosomal RNA (482 nucleotides) under uncultured bacterium. Its description in RNAcentral is "partial 16S ribosomal RNA". It matches the Rfam family "Bacterial small subunit ribosomal RNA", at positions 30 to 507 of the family's 1533-position model. The record is from RNAcentral.